Molecule: ribosomal RNA, 631 nt
Filed under: Salmonella enterica
Lineage: Bacteria; Pseudomonadati; Pseudomonadota; Gammaproteobacteria; Enterobacterales; Enterobacteriaceae
Also listed under: 1 other name
Description: bacterial SSU rRNA
Rfam family: Bacterial small subunit ribosomal RNA
Source: RNAcentral
CAAAUGAAUUGACGGGGGCCCGCACAAGCGGUGGAGCAUGUGGUUUAAUUCGAUGCAACGCGAAGAACCUUACCUGGUCUUGACAUCCACAGAACUUUCCAGAGAUGGAUUGGUGCCUUCGGGAACUGUGAGACAGGUGCUGCAUGGCUGUCGUCAGCUCGUGUUGUGAAAUGUUGGGUUAAGUCCCGCAACGAGCGCAACCCUUAUCCUUUGUUGCCAGCGGUCCGGCCGGGAACUCAAAGGAGACUGCCAGUGAUAAACUGGAGGAAGGUGGGGAUGACGUCAAGUCAUCAUGGCCCUUACGACCAGGGCUACACACGUGCUACAAUGGCGCAUACAAAGAGAAGCGACCUCGCGAGAGUAAGCGGACCUCAUAAAGUGCGUCGUAGUCCGGAUUGGAGUCUGCAACUCGACUCCAUGAAGUCGGAAUCGCUAGUAAUCGUGGAUCAGAAUGCCACGGUGAAUACGUUCCCGGGCCUUGUACACACCGCCCGUCACACCAUGGGAGUGGGUUGCAAAAGAAGUAGGUAGCUUAACCUUCGGGGGGGCGCUUACCACUUUGUGAUUCAUGACUGGGGUGAAGUCGUAACAAGGUAACCGUAGGGGAACCUGCGGUUGGAUCACCUCCUUA